ACCAGUGUGGCUCAAUGGAUAGAGCGUCGACCUAUGAACCUGGAGGUCCCGGGUUCGAUUCCCGGUCAAGGGCA
This is a non-coding RNA of Myotis davidii, 74 nucleotides long. The record is from Rfam. Lineage: Eukaryota; Metazoa; Chordata; Mammalia; Chiroptera; Vespertilionidae.